GUAGGUGGCAAGCGUUGUCCGGAAUUAUUGGGCGUAAAGCGCGCGCAGGCGGUUCUUUAAGUCUGAUGUGAAAGCCCACGGCUCAACCGUGGAGGGUCAUUGGAAACUGGAGAACUUGAGUACAGAAGAGGAAAGCGGAAUUCCACGUGUAGCGGUGAAAUGCGUAGAGAUGUGGAGGAACACCAGUGGCGAAGGCGGCUUUCUGGUCUGUAACUGACGCUGAGGCGCGAAAGCGUGGGGGAGCAAACAGGAUUAGAUACCCUGGUAGUCCACGCCGUAAACGAUGAGUGCUAAGUGUUAGGGGGUUUCCGCCCCCUUAGUGCUGCAGCUAACGCAUUAAGCACUCCGCCUGGGAGUACGGCCGCAGGCUG
This 371-nucleotide ribosomal RNA is filed under the name uncultured organism. Its description in RNAcentral is "partial 16S ribosomal RNA". It matches the Rfam family "Bacterial small subunit ribosomal RNA", at positions 527 to 896 of the family's 1533-position model. The record is from RNAcentral.